RNAcentral lists this ribosomal RNA (253 nucleotides) under uncultured bacterium. RNAcentral describes it as "partial 16S ribosomal RNA". It matches the Rfam family "Bacterial small subunit ribosomal RNA", at positions 524 to 776 of the family's 1533-position model. The record is from RNAcentral.
UACAGAGGGGGCAAGCGUUGUUCGGAAUUACUGGGCGUAAAGGGCGCGUAGGCGGCCUUCUAAGUCGAACGUGAAAUCCCCGGGCUCAACCCGGGAACUGCGUCCGAUACUGGAAGACUUGAAUCCGGGAGAGGGAUGUGGAAUUCCAGGUGUAGCGGUGAAAUGCGUAGAUAUCCGGAGGAAGACCGGUGGCGAAGGCGGUCUGCUGGGCAGUUUCUGACACUGAUGCGCGACAGCGUGGGGAGCAAACAGG